Molecule: long non-coding RNA, 262 nt
Organism: Lolium rigidum
Lineage: Eukaryota; Viridiplantae; Streptophyta; Magnoliopsida; Poales; Poaceae
Exons: 4
Source: RefSeq, a predicted model, not a curated record
UUUCAGUGGAAGGCAUGCUGUCAGAACUAAACUAGUGGAGCUUGGAUAUGAAAUCAACGACAAGGAAUUUGAGGAUUUCUUUAAACGCUACAAAGAGGUUGCAGAGAAAAAAAAGCGUGUAACUGAUGAAGACAUCGAAGCUUUAUUAUCAGAUGAGAUAUUUCAGCCUAAGGUUAUUUGGUCCCUUGGUGAUGUACAGGCAACAUGUGGAACACUUGGUUUAUCUACAGCAACCGUCAAACUGAUAGGUCUAGACGGAGAG